RNAcentral lists this ribosomal RNA (253 nucleotides) under uncultured bacterium. RNAcentral's name for it is "partial 16S ribosomal RNA". It matches the Rfam family "Bacterial small subunit ribosomal RNA", at positions 524 to 776 of the family's 1533-position model. The record is from RNAcentral.
UACGUAGGCAGCAAGCGUUGUUCGGAAUUACUGGGCGUAAAGAGUGUGUAGGCGGUGCUCUAAGUCUGUUGUGAAGUCUCCCGGCUUAACUGGGAGGGUGCGGCGGAGACUGGAGUGCUAGAGUGUGGGAGAGGUAAGCGGAAUUCCUGGUGUAGCGGUGAAAUGCGUAGAUAUCAGGAGGAACACCUGUGGUGUAGACAGCUUACUGGACCACGACUGACGCUGAGACACGAAAGCGUGGGUAGCAAACAGG